RNAcentral lists this long non-coding RNA (410 nucleotides) under Mytilus galloprovincialis (Mediterranean mussel). Lineage: Eukaryota; Metazoa; Mollusca; Bivalvia; Mytilida; Mytilidae. The record is from RNAcentral.
GUGGUUCCUUCAUAACGAAUAAAAAAAUCCAUCAAAAUAUGAAUUAAUAGCUGCGCCAUAAGCACAUGAUACGCCCGUUGCCAUUUUAGCUCGAAAACUCAAUAACUCUGCAAAGUCAUAUAAAAUAUAUAAAUGGAUGCUUAUUUUAAUAGAUAUAGGCUAAACAAAGCGUUUUUCAGUUAUUGUCCGAAAACUUGAAACUCUCCCCUUUUCUAUAAUUUAAAGUACAAAUACUCCGAAACAGUAAAAGCAGACAUUUUUAAAAUAAUGUACAUAUUUAUUAACAAUUUACAAUAGUUUCGUGAAUAUUAUUUAAAUGCAUUUUUUAGUUAGUCAGAAAAAUGGAAAAUGACCCAUUUUUUGAAUAAAAUCCCAUAAGUCUGACAUUUAAAAUCUAAAAUUUAUAAAAA